UACGUAGGUGGCAAGCGUUGUCCGGAUUUACUGGGCGUAAAGAGCGCGCAGGCGGUCGUUCAAGUCGCGUGUGAAAGCCCCCGGCUCAACUGGGGAGGGUCACGCGAUACUGAUCGACUCGAAGGCAGGAGAGGGAAGUGGAAUUCCUGGUGUAGCGGUGGAAUGCGCAGAUAUCAGGAGGAACACCAAUAGCGAAGGCAGCUCGCUGGGACGUUACUGACGCUGAGGCGCGAAAGCGUGGGGAGCAAACAGG
Molecule: ribosomal RNA, 253 nt
Filed under: uncultured bacterium
Lineage: Bacteria
Description: partial 16S ribosomal RNA
Rfam family: Bacterial small subunit ribosomal RNA
Source: RNAcentral